GAGAGUUAAACAGUACGUGAAAUUGUUGAAAGGGAAACGAUUGAAGCCAGUCGUACCUUCGGGUAAUCAGCCUUUCGGGUGCGAUUCUGUGGAGUUUGAGGAGCUUAACACCUUCAUGCUUUUGCAUAUUCGUACUCUUGGGUGUACUUGCCCGUGUGGUUGGUUAACAUCAAUUUCGGGCACCAUAAAAUGGCUGGAGGAAUGUAGCUUCGAUCUUGUAUUGAAGUGUUAUAGCCUUCGGUAGAUGUGGUGAUCGAGAUUGAGGAUUGCAACGGAUACCUUUCGGGGCUACCUGUCUGAUCUCUGAUCGUUGCUUUGGUGCUGAAAGCGUGCUUAUAGUUAUUAAAGUCGAUGGUCAAUAGGUUAGAAUGGGUUAAAUUCGUUAAGGAUGUUGACGUAAUGGCUUUAAACGA
Molecule: ribosomal RNA, 413 nt
Filed under: uncultured Rhizophagus
Lineage: Eukaryota; Fungi; Glomeromycota; Glomeromycetes; Glomerales; Glomeraceae
Description: partial 28S ribosomal RNA
Source: RNAcentral